AAAAGCGCCUUAAUCUUCCAAUCAGAUGAAAGAGUUCAGAAUAAUUUCCGGAUACAAUUUCUAUUUGUUAGCGUCAUUACUUGGGUCACUUAUCAGGUUAUACAUCGAGAAUGGGACGCCGAAAGUCAAAGAGGAAGCCACCUCCCCAAAAGAAACUGACGGGUAACUUGGACACCCAAUUCACCUGUCCCUUUUGUAACCACGAGAAGUCCUGUGAUGUCAAAAUGGAACGCACUCGAAACACAGGGAUAAUAUCGUGCACCGUCUGCUUGGAAGAAUUCCAGACUCCCAUUACUUGUAUCCUUUUGAUUCUUUGAUUGGAUCACUAUAUUCACUUAUCUACACACCAUAUAGCUCACAGAUUGGCUUGUACAUUUGUAAAUAAAUAUAUAUAUAUAUAUAUAUAUA
Molecule: long non-coding RNA, 408 nt
Organism: Oncorhynchus tshawytscha (Chinook salmon)
Lineage: Eukaryota; Metazoa; Chordata; Actinopteri; Salmoniformes; Salmonidae
Exons: 3
Source: RefSeq, a predicted model, not a curated record